AUAUAUGUUAAGUGGAAAAGGAUGUGGGGUUGCUUAGACAACCAGGAUGUUGGCUUAGAAGCAGCCACCAUUGAAAGAGUGCGUAAUAGCUCACUGGUCGAGUGACCCCGCGCCGAAAAUGUACCGGGGCUAAACAUAUUACCGAAACUGUGGAUGAACCUCUUUAGAGGUUCGUGGUAGGAGAGCGUUCUAAGGGCGGUGAAGUCAGACC
Molecule: ribosomal RNA, 211 nt
Filed under: Escherichia coli
Lineage: Bacteria; Pseudomonadati; Pseudomonadota; Gammaproteobacteria; Enterobacterales; Enterobacteriaceae
Description: partial 23S ribosomal RNA
Rfam family: Bacterial large subunit ribosomal RNA
Source: RNAcentral